RNAcentral lists this ribosomal RNA (1395 nucleotides) under uncultured Cytophaga sp. RNAcentral's name for it is "bacterial SSU rRNA". It matches the Rfam family "Bacterial small subunit ribosomal RNA". The record is from RNAcentral. Lineage: Bacteria; Pseudomonadati; Bacteroidota; Cytophagia; Cytophagales; Cytophagaceae.
GAGAGCGGCGCACGGGUGAGUAACGCGUAUGCAACCUACCUUAUACAGGGGGAUAGCCCAGAGAAAUUUGGAUUAAUACCCCAUGGCACUAUUUUAUCGCAUGGUAAAAUAGUUAAAGAUUUAUCGGUAUAAGAUGGGCAUGCGUGACAUUAGAUUGUUGGCGGGGUAACGGCCCACCAAGUCAGCGAUGUCUAGGGGUUCUGAGAGGAUGAUCCCCCACACUGGUACUGAGACACGGACCAGACUCCUACGGGAGGCAGCAGUGAGGAAUAUUGGUCAAUGGGCGCAAGCCUGAACCAGCCAUCCCGCGUGAAGGAUGACGGCCCUAUGGGUUGUAAACUUCUUUUAUGUACCAAGAAUAUGCCUUACGAGUAGGGUAUUGACGGUAGUGCAUGAAUAAGCAUCGGCUAACUCCGUGCCAGCAGCCGCGGUAAUACGGAGGAUGCGAGCGUUAUCCGGAUUCAUUGGGUUUAAAGGGUGCGUAGGCGGUUUAUUAAGUCAGUGGUGAAAUCCUGCGGCUCAACCGUAGAACUGCCAUUGAUACUGAUAAACUUGAAUAUAGUUGAGGUAGGCGGAAUGAGUAGUGUAGCGGUGAAAUGCUUAGAUAUUACUCAGAACACCGAUUGCGAAGGCAGCUUGCUAAGCUAUUAUUGACGCUGAGGCACGAAAGCGUGGGGAUCAAACAGGAUUAGAUACCCUGGUAGUCCACGCCGUAAACGAUGUUCACUCGCUGUUUGCGAUAUACAGUAAGCGGCCAAGCGAAAGCAUUAAGUGAACCACCUGGGGAGUACGUCGGCAACGGUGAAACUCAAAGGAAUUGACGGGGGCCCGCACAAGCGGAGGAACAUGUGGUUUAAUUCGAUGAUACGCGAGGAACCUUACCUGGGCUUAAAUGUAGAGUGCAUGUGGUGGAAACACCCUUCCCUUCGGGGCUAUCUACAAGGUGCUGCAUGGUUGUCGUCAGCUCGUGCCGUGAGGUGUCGGGUCAAGUCCCAUAACGAGCGCNAACCCUUACCGUUAGUUGCCAUCAGGUCAUGCUGGGGACUCUAGCGGGACUGCCACCGUAAGGUGAGAGGAAGGUGGGGAUGACGCCAAAUCAGCACGGCCCUUAUGUCCAGGGCUACACACGUGUUACAAUGGCCGAUACAAAGGGCAGCUACACCGCGAGGUGAUGCUAAUCUCGAAAGUCGGUCUCAGUUCGGAUCGGAGUCUGCAACUCGACUCCGUGAAGUUGGAUUCGCUAGUAAUCGCGCAUCAGCCAUGGCGCGGUGAAUACGUUCCCGGGCCUUGUACACACCGCCCGUCAAACCAUGGAAGCUGGGGGGACCUGAAGUAUGCAACCGCNAGGAGCGUCCUAGGGUAAAACCGGUGACUGGGGUUAAGCCGUAACAAGGU